This 3848-nucleotide long non-coding RNA is filed under the name Mytilus galloprovincialis (Mediterranean mussel). Lineage: Eukaryota; Metazoa; Mollusca; Bivalvia; Mytilida; Mytilidae. The record is from RNAcentral.
CAUUUAUUUUCAAAGAUGUAAUAGGAAACACACACAGUAUUUUAUUUGGCCUUAGCCCUUAUAUAUACAAUGUACAUGUACUCUUAAUAAACCUUUUAUUCCUGCAAUAAAAAACACUUUUGACUAUAAUUCUAAGACGCCAGUAAUCAAUUCUAAUGUUUUUAUUUUUAUCUUACAGAUGGUGACAAAAAAAGAUAACAGCACAGUGUUAAGAUUGAAUCAGAAUGAAUAAAACAAAAAGAUUAUAAUAGGUAUUGGUUUUUUUUUAAAUAUUUUUAUUUGCAUGGAUUAAUUACUUUAUCAAUUUAUAAAAAAAAUACUAUUUAAUUAUCCUGCCUUGCAUGGAAUAAAAUGACAACUUACAUUGUUCUAAAAAAAAAUGUUUGUAAAUAAUGAGUAAAAUUAAUGCUCAAUAAACAAUGUUUAAAAUGUUAACAUGAAAACUGAUUUUGAUUUGAAGCCAUAUUUUAUGAAAUUGAUUAAUGUAGACAAAUCUUUUUUAUAGUUACAAAUGUAGGUGACACUUAAACACUCAAUAUCUUUCUUUAAUUAGUAUAGUAGGAUGAUACAGAUUGAUGCCUGUGAAAGAAUUAUAAAAAAGGUUGCAUUCAGUUUUUUAUUGUCAAUAAUACUUCCCUCCCCCUAUUUUUCAAACUUUUUAUAUGUUAAAUAAUGCAGGUCCUUGCAUUUCAACAAUUUAUUUUUAGUUAUACUCAUUUUAUUAUUUCAUUAUUACUUUCAGCUCCCUCAACCAGAAGAACUAUGAACACAGUUAUUGAUUUCUAUGUUUCCUUGGAGAUUUUAACAGUUAUUGUUAAAACUUGAAAUCUAACAGAAUGAAAAUUUGAGAAAAUUUACAUAUACAGUGUACAUGUACAUGUAGCUUCAAUAUAAAUCAACUGAUACACCGUAAGUAUGUCUUCUAUAUAUGAAAGUUAUAAAUUGGUUUGUUUACAAAAUUUAUUUUUUACUAGAUAUAUUUGAGUAAAUACCGGACCAAAUUAUAUAUUAAAGCAAAUACUCACAAACGUUUUUUUUUUUUAAAUUACUAAUAUUUCCUAUAUGGUGAUAUAAAUUAUAUGAUCAAAUUGUGGAUACAACUACAUGGUUUAUGCUAUAAACUGUGAAUAUAAAAAAAGAGUAUGUUGUAUGAUUGCCAAUGAGAAAACUCUUCCAACAAGAGACCAAAUGACAGAAGUUAACAACUGUAGCCUAUAGUAGGUCAUAGUACAGUCUUAAACAAUGAGUAAAGCCCAUACCACUCAGAGAGCUAUAAAAUACACUGAAAUGACAAAUGUGAAACAAUUAAAACUAGAAAUUUGGCCUAAUUUAUCAUACAUGUAUGUACAAAAUAAUGAACGAAAAACAAAUAUGUGACACAUCAAACAACAACCACUGAAUUAAAGGCUCCUGAUUUGGGACAGACACAGACAUACAUAAUGUAUCGGGUUAAACAUGUUCGCUGGGACCCAACCCUCCCCUUACCUGGGACAGUGGUGUAAGAGUACAAAAUAAAAACAAACUAUAAAAUUCAGUUGAAAAAGACUUAAAUCUUAACUCAUCAUGAGAUGGAUACAAGUAGAAAUAAAUAAAACCAAGAAAAAGGGGGCAUGGUCAGGUACUAUUACAUACAAACAACUGAAAGACACUUAGUAUAGAUCUAGAUUAUUUACUCUAAGCACACUCAAGCUUAAUAGAUGUGAAAAAUACCCUAAAUCUGAUAGGUCCUGCAACUUUUGAAAGAGACUCCAAAAAAUUACUUAUAAAGGGAACUCAAUCUAAAUUUUGUGUUAAAAUUUCAUGAGAAAUUGUUCAAAGCAAAGGAGAAGGGCAUUAAAGGACUAUUUUUUGUCCAAGAAUAUAAACUAUUCCAAAAAGCCCCAUUAUGUUUGGAAUUGCAUAAAUUUAAGAAACAUGAAUUAAAAACAUAAUAUUUUUUAUACGACCGCAAAAAUUAAAAAAUUUUUGGUCGUAUAUUGGUAUCACGUUGGCGUCGUCGUCGUCGUCGUCGUCCGAAUACUUUUAGUUUUCGCACUCUAACUUUAGUAAAAGUGAAUAGAAAUCUAUGAAAUUUUAACACAAGGUUUAUGAUCACAAAAGGAAGGUUGGGAUUGAUUUUGGGAGUUUUGGUCCCAACAUUUUAGGAAUUAGGGGCCAAAAAGGGCCCAAAUAAGCAUUUUCUUGGUUUUCGCACUAUAACUUUAGUUUAAGUAAAUAGAAAUCUAUGAAAUUUUGACACAAGGUUUAUGACCACAAAAGGAAGGUUGGGAUUGAUUUUGGGAGUUUUGGUUCCAACAGUUUAGGAAUUAGGGGCCAAAAAAGAGCCCAAAUAAGCAUUAUUCUUGGUUUUCGCACAAUAACUUUAGUAUAAGUAAAUAGAAAUCUAUGAAAUUUAAACACAAGGUUUAUGACCAUAAAAGGAAGGUUGGGUUUGAUUUUGGGAGUUUUGGUCCCAACAGUUUAGGAAUAAGGGGCCCAAAGGGUUCAAAAUUAAACUUUGUUUGAUUUCAUCAAAAAUUGAAUAAUUGGGGUUCUUUGAUAUGCCGAAUCUAACUGUGUAUGUAGAUUCUUAAUUUUUGGUCCCGUUUUCAAAUUGGUCUACAUUAAGGUCCAAAGGGUCCAAAAUUAAACUUAGUUUGAUUUAACAAAAAUUGAAUCCUUGGGGUUUCUUUGAUAUGCUGAAUCUAAAAAAUGUACAGUAUUCAGCAAUAGCAAGAAAUCUUCAAUUGCACAGUAUUGUGCAAUAGCAAGAAAUUUUCAAUUGCACAGUAUUGCGCAAUAGCAAGAAAUCUUCAAUUGCACAGUAUUGUGCAAUAGCAAAUAUUUUCAAUUGCACAGUAUUGCGCAAUAGCAAGAAAUAUCUAAUUGCAAUUUCAAUUGGAGUUAUCUUUCUUUGUCCAGAAUAGUAGUUGAAUCAACUUAAAUCAUUGUUUUAUACAAUAUAUAUAAUUGAUAUUUCAAUUGGAGUUAUCUUUCUUUGUCCAGAAUAGUAGUUGAAUCAACUUAAAUCAUUGUUUUAUACAAUAUACAAUGUAUAUUCACUUUUACUACCAACUGAUAAAUUAAAACAAUCUUUACCAUUCAGUGAUAACAAGCACUUUAUUUUACAUUUUAAAUAUUUUAUGAUGUAUUUAAAUGAGUAGUUAUUGUUGCAAACUCCAUUAUUAGAAAUUUGAAUUGAGAUCAGUUUUGGAAAAAGGGAAAGGGGGAUGUGAAAAAAAAAAUGGGGGGGGGUUAAAUUUUUCUCAUUUCAGAUUUCAUAAAUAAAAAGAAAAUUUCUUCAAACAUUUUUUUGAGAGGAUUAAUAUUCAACAGCAUAGUGAAUUGCUCAAAGGCAAAAAAAAUAUUUUAAGUUCAUUAGACCACAUUCAUUCUGUGUCAGAAACCUAUGCUGUGUCAACUAUCUAAUCACAAUCCAAAUUUAGAGCUGAAUCCAGCUUGAAUGUUGUGUCCAUACUUGCCCCAACCGUUCAGGGUUCAACCUCUGCGGUUAAAUUAGCAGUAAUAUCUGGGCCAAAUAAAAACCUUUUUUAGUUAGCCCCUACUUACUUUGAAUUUAUUGAACAAAGUGUUGCCAUAAUAUUGAUUUUAAAGAUGGAUGGACAAACAAUGGCAUACCAUAUACAUCCCUUACCUACCAGAAGUUACAAAGUUAUAAAAAAAUGUUUAUAUAUUUUCAGAUCACAAUUAUGUCAACCUAAUCAUUGGAAGUUUAUCAAGUUACAUGAGAAGCAUUGAAAGCCUGCAGAGAUUCUACAUGUAUAAAUAAAUGGAAUAGACUCACACUUAAAAAUAACUUUUACACAAGACUAAUGCACUCUCAAACAAGGAUUAUUCAUGUUUCAAUG